GAUGAACGCUGGCGGCGUGCCUAAUACAUGCCAGUCGAGCGAACGGACGAGAAGCUUGCUUCUCUGAUGUUAGCGGCGGACGGGUGAGUAACACGUGGAUAACCUACCUAUAAGACUGGGAUAACUUCGGGAAACCGGAGCUAAUACCGGAUGAUAUUUUGAACCGCAUGGUUCAAAAGUGAAAGACGGUCUUGCUGUCACUUAUAGAUGGAUCCGCGCUGCAUUAGCUAGUUGGUAAGGUAACGGCUUACCAAGGCAACGAUGCAUAGCCGACCUGAGAGGGUGAUCGGCCACACUGGAACUGAGACACGGUCCAGACUCCUACGGGAGGCAGCAGUAGGGAAUCUUCCGCAAUGGGCGAAAGCCUGGCGGAGCAACGCCGCGUGAGUGAUGAAGGUCUUCGGAUCGUAAAACUCUGUUAUUAGGGAAGAACAUAUGUGUAAGUAACUGUGCACAUCUUGACGGUACCUAAUCAGAAAGCCACGGCUAACUACGUG
This 497-nucleotide ribosomal RNA is filed under the name uncultured bacterium. Its description in RNAcentral is "partial 16S ribosomal RNA". It matches the Rfam family "Bacterial small subunit ribosomal RNA", at positions 28 to 507 of the family's 1533-position model. The record is from RNAcentral.